This 1464-nucleotide ribosomal RNA is filed under the name bacterium symbiont of Bactrocera correcta. RNAcentral's name for it is "bacterial SSU rRNA". It matches the Rfam family "Bacterial small subunit ribosomal RNA". The record is from RNAcentral.
AUUGAACGCUGGCGGCAGGCCCAACACAUGCAAGUCGAACGGUAACAGGAAGCAGCUUGCUGCUUUGCUGACGAGUGGCGGACGGGUGAGUAAUGUCUGGGAAACUGCCCGAUGGAGGGGGAUAACUACUGGAAACGGUAGCUAAUACCGCAUAAUGUCGCAAGACCAAAGAGGGGGACCUUCGGGCCUCUUGCCAUCGGAUGUACCCAGAUGGGAUUAGCUAGUUGGUGAGGUAACGGCUCACCAAGGCGACGAUCCCUAGCUGGUCUGAGAGGAUGACCAGCCACACUGGAACUGAGACACGGUCCAGACUCCUACGGGAGGCAGCAGUGGGGAAUAUUGCACAAUGGGCGCAAGCCUGAUGCAGCCAUGCCGCGUGUAUGAAGAAGGCCUUCGGGUUGUAAAGUACUUUCAGCGGGGAGGAAGGGGUUAAGGUUAAUAACCUUAGCCAUUGACGUUACCCGCAGAAGAAGCACCGGCUAACUCCGUGCCAGCAGCCGCGGUAAUACGGAGGGUGCAAGCGUUAAUCAGAAUUACUGGGCGUAAAGCGCACGCAGGCGGUCUGUCAAGUCGGAUGUGAAAUCCCCGGGCUCAACCUGGGAACUGCAUUCGAAACUGGCAGGCUUGAGUCUCGUAGAGGGGGGUAGAAUUCCAGGUGUAGCGGUGAAAUGCGUAGAGAUCUGGAGGAAUACCGGUGGCGAAGGCGGCCCCCUGGACAAAGACUGACGCUCAGGUGCGAAAGCGUGGGGAGCAAACAGGAUUAGAUACCCUGGUAGUCCACGCUGUAAACGAUGUCGACUUGGAGGUUGUUCCCUUGAGGAGUGGCUUCCGGAGCUAACGCGUUAAGUCGACCGCCUGGGGAGUACGGCCGCAAGGUUAAAACUCAAAUGAAUUGACGGGGGCCCGCACAAGCGGUGGAGCAUGUGGUUUAAUUCGAUGCAACGCGAAGAACCUUACCUACUCUUGACAUCCAGAGAACUUAGCAGAGAUGCUUUGGUGCCUUCGGGAACUCUGAGACAGGUGCUGCAUGGCUGUCGUCAGCUCGUGUUGUGAAAUGUUGGGUUAAGUCCCGCAACGAGCGCAACCCUUAUCCUUUGUUGCCAGCGGUCCGGCCGGGAACUCAAAGGAGACUGCCAGUGAUAAACUGGAGGAAGGUGGGGAUGACGUCAAGUCAUCAUGGCCCUUACGAGUAGGGCUACACACGUGCUACAAUGGCAUAUACAAAGAGAAGCGACCUCGCGAGAGCAAGCGGACCUCAUAAAGUAUGUCGUAGUCCGGAUUGGAGUCUGCAACUCGACUCCAUGAAGUCGGAAUCGCUAGUAAUCGUAGAUCAGAAUGCUACGGUGAAUACGUUCCCGGGCCUUGUAUACACCGCCCGUCACACCAUGGGAGUGGGUUGCAAAAGAAGUAGGUAGCUUAACCUUCGGGAGGGCGCUUACCACUUUGUGAUUCAUGACUGGGGUG